AAACCUAGCUCACAUUUCCUUAUCUCCCUAAACUGUCCUGGGCCUCAAUGUCCCAGUACAAAACACAAGGGUGAGUACUUACAAAUCCUAUGGCAUGCCAACUAUAUCCAACGGUAUCAAAAGGUCGCAAGGCCAAUGUAUCCAGAAUAAAACAUACAUAUACUUAUCAUUUCUGCACACUUUCACUGCUCAUUCACUUUAUAAUCACAACAUCAUCACUAUUAUUUGGCUUGUUUAAUAUGCCCACAACUGAGACAUUUCAC
Molecule: long non-coding RNA, 263 nt
Filed under: Gossypium barbadense (sea-island cotton)
Lineage: Eukaryota; Viridiplantae; Streptophyta; Magnoliopsida; Malvales; Malvaceae
Description: long non-coding RNA (GBAR_LNC022306)
Source: RNAcentral